CCUACGGGUGGCAGCAGUGGGGGAUAUUGCACAAUGGGGGGAACCCUGAUGCAGCGACGCCGCGUGGGUGAAGAAGCGCCUCGGCGCGUAAAGCCCUGUCAGCAGGGAAGAAAAUGACGGUACCUGAAUAAUAAGCCCCGGCUAACUCCGUGCCAGCAGCCGCGGUAAUACGUAGGGGGCGAGCGUUAUCCGGAUUUACUGGGUGUAAAGGGAGCGUAGACGGCGGCGCAAGUCUGAAGUGAAAGCCCGUGGCUCAACCGCGGAACCGCUUUGGAAACUGGGAGGCUGGAGUGCUGGAGAGGUAAGCGGAAUUCCUGGUGUAGCGGUGAAAUGCGUAGAUAUAAGGAGGAACACCAGUGGCGAAGGCGGCUUACUGGACAGUGACUGACGUUGAGGCUCGAAAGCGUGGGGAGCGAACAGGAUUAGAUACCCGUGUAGUC
This 440-nucleotide ribosomal RNA is filed under the name uncultured bacterium. Its description in RNAcentral is "partial 16S ribosomal RNA". It matches the Rfam family "Bacterial small subunit ribosomal RNA", at positions 338 to 795 of the family's 1533-position model. The record is from RNAcentral.